RNAcentral lists this long non-coding RNA (453 nucleotides) under Trifolium pratense (red clover). Its description in RNAcentral is "long non-coding RNA (TPRA_LNC014015)". Lineage: Eukaryota; Viridiplantae; Streptophyta; Magnoliopsida; Fabales; Fabaceae. The record is from RNAcentral.
UAAGGCGGAUGUUGAUACUCUCUAUCUUCCAUUGCUUUAUCAUGUUGAAGAAAUAAAAGAUUAUGUUUGGGGUGCUGCUGCUCUUGCACACCUAUAUAUUUCUAUGAAAAAUAUUAAUGAAGUGGGUAUAAAGCAUAUGCACGGUAUUGCAUUGUCCCUGCAGGUAAGUUAUUUUAUAUUUCUGUUCUCCAAUUAAAAAAGUAUUUCCUUUUAACAAUUGAGAAAUAAGUGUCACUUCUUUUUGUUGUGAUUUGCUAGGUCUUUGUAUUCCUACAUCUGACAAAGAUCAAGGGCUUGCUAUCGAGUAUAAAUUUUGCAAAAAUAAACAACUUCCGUUGAUCAAUGAUUGGUCACAUCAUUUACAACAAUUUACCUUGAACAAAAGUAAAAAGAUAGAUUAUUCGGAUUUAAUUAAGACAAUUACUGCUAAAGAGGUAAGCCUGGUAAUUUAAG